Molecule: ribosomal RNA, 858 nt
Filed under: uncultured bacterium
Lineage: Bacteria
Description: bacterial SSU rRNA
Rfam family: Bacterial small subunit ribosomal RNA
Source: RNAcentral
UCGACGAUGAAUCUUCUAGCUUGCUAGAAGUGGAUUAGUGGCGCACGGGUGAGUAAUGCAUAGGUUAUGUGCCCUUUAGUCUGGGAUAGCCACUGGAAACGGUGAUUAAUACUGGAUACUCCCUACGGGGGAAAGUUUUUCGCUAAAGGAUCAGCCUAUGUCCUAUCAGCUUGUUGGUGAGGUAAUGGCUCACCAAGGCUAUGACGGGUAUCCGGCCUGAGAGGGUGAUCGGACACACUGGAACUGAGACACGGUCCAGACUCCUACGGGAGGCAGCAGUAGGGAAUAUUGCUCAAUGGGGGAAACCCUGAAGCAGCAACGCCGCGUGGAGGAUGAAGGUUUUAGGCUUGUAAACUCCUUUUGUUAGAGAAGAUUAUGACGGUAUCUAACGAAUAAGCACCGGCUAACUCCGUGCCAGCAGCCGCGGUAAUACGGAGGGUGCAAGCGUUACUCGGAAUCACUGGGCGUAAAGAGUGCGUAGGCGGGGUAAUAAGUCAGAUGUGAAAUCCUGUAGCUUAACUACAGAACUGCAUCUGAAACUGUUACUCUGGAGUGUGGGAGAGGUAGGUGGAAUUCUUGGUGUAGGGGUAAAAUCCGUAGAGAUCAAGAGGAAUACUCAUUGCGAAGGCGACCUGCUGGAACAUUACUGACGCUGAUGCACGAAAGCGUGGGGAGCAAACAGGAUUAGAUACCCUGGUAGUCCACGCCCUAAACGAUGGAUGCUAGUUGUUGCCUUGCUUGUCAGGGCAGUAAUGCAGCUAACGCAUUAAGCAUCCCGCCUGGGGAGUACGGUCGCAAGAUUAAAACUCAAAGGAAUAGACGGGGACCCGCACAAGCGGUGGAGCAUGUGGUUUAAUU